UUACGGUCAUAUCACGUUGAAACUCUCGCUCCCGUACGAUCAACGAACUUAAGCAACGUGAAGCCUGAAGAGUACCUACAUGGGUGACCACUUGGAAGUACCAGGAGGUGUAA
Molecule: non-coding RNA, 113 nt
Organism: Acanthosepion pharaonis
Lineage: Eukaryota; Metazoa; Mollusca; Cephalopoda; Sepiida; Sepiidae
Source: the annotation of a GenBank genome assembly